Molecule: long non-coding RNA, 176 nt
Organism: Chelonia mydas (Green sea turtle)
Lineage: Eukaryota; Metazoa; Chordata; Testudines; Cheloniidae
Exons: 2
Source: RefSeq, a predicted model, not a curated record
AAAAGGGGGUGACCCCUGCUCAUUUGCUGGCUGAAUAGGAAGGAGAGUAGAUCUCUGUGAGAGAAAUCUGGCUGGGGCUAGGAACUGCUGGAGAGACUGCUGCCUCCAAGAGGGAAGGAGCUGCAAAUGUUUCAAGCCUCCCUCCUCCACCCCAAAGGCUAGCUCAGAGAAGGCAG